This 495-nucleotide ribosomal RNA is filed under the name uncultured bacterium. RNAcentral's name for it is "bacterial SSU rRNA". It matches the Rfam family "Bacterial small subunit ribosomal RNA", at positions 1 to 472 of the family's 1533-position model. The record is from RNAcentral.
CCCUUAGAGUUUGAUCCUGGCUCAGGACGAACGCUGGCGGCGUGCCUAAUACAUGCAAGUCGAACGAAACUUUCUUACACCGAAUGUUUGCAUUCACCGUAAGAAGUUGAGUGGCGGACGGGUGAGUAACACGUGGGUAACCUGCCUAAAAGAAGGGGAUAACACUUGGAAACAGGUGCUAAUACCGUAUAUCUCUAAGGAUCGCAUGAUCCUUAGAUGAAAGAUGGUUCUGCUAUCGCUUUUAGAUGGACCCGCGGCGUAUUAACUAGUUGGUGGGGUAACGGCCUACCAAGGUGAUGAUACGUAGCCGAACUGAGAGGUUGAUCGGCCACAUUGGGACUGAGACACGGCCCAAACUCCUACGGGAGGCAGCAGUAGGGAAUCUUCCACAAUGGACGCAAGUCUGAUGGAGCAACGCCGCGUGAGUGAAGAAGGUCUUCGGAUCGUAAAACUCUGUUGUUAAAGAAGAACACGAGUGAGAGUAACUGUCAUCGA